Pygocentrus nattereri (red-bellied piranha) is the source of this 507-nucleotide long non-coding RNA. RefSeq lists it as uncharacterized. NCBI's taxonomy places the organism in Eukaryota, Metazoa, Chordata, Actinopteri, Characiformes, Serrasalmidae. The record is from RefSeq and is a predicted model, not a curated record. The transcript is spliced from 3 exons.
CGGUUCUGUGGGAGGAGACAGACAGACAGAGAAGCAGAGAGAGAUUUUCCGAUUUAUAUUGUUAAGGGAAACUGAGAGAAACCCUGGGAUGAAGCAUUUUUAACUUGAGAAUAUGCUUUUACAGGUCGACUGCCGUUGAUGCAUGAAGCUUAAGGCUUGGUAAAAGUCCAUACAGUAAAGUUUACAGUUCGGUCACUUACCGUAAGUGGUUGAAUCUGAGCGGCCCCCGUUUAGACAUUGCCAGUAAUGUUGCCGUCGAAGGAGCACUUCGUGGUGAAUUACACCUGCAACGACGAAAUAUAAAUAUAUGGGGUUGGAUUUGAUUCACAUGUAAGCAAGGCGGUGAAGAUGUUAUUUAAGGCUUCUUCUACACUCACUGAGGACACUCUGUACAGGAUAUGCUGCCGAAAAAAGAGAAGAUGAUCAGUGAACGCACUUUUGGCAAAAGUUAUGCAACUGAUUUAAUUAUUACAAAGAUGUAACAAGAUACUGACUGGCUGGAUUGAA